RNAcentral lists this small RNA (1004 nucleotides) under Pongo abelii (Sumatran orangutan). Its description in RNAcentral is "processed transcript". The record is from RNAcentral. Lineage: Eukaryota; Metazoa; Chordata; Mammalia; Primates; Hominidae.
GGGCUUCUGCUUCCGCGACCCCGGAGGUGCAGGGCGGGUGGAGUCGCGGAGUCGUCCUCAUGGCCGCCGCGCCGGAGCCCGGUGAACCCAAGGAGAGGAAGGUAGAAUUAGAAGAUCAUGUGAUGUUGGAGUAGGAGGGUUUAUCUUGGUGACUUUGGGAUGCUGGUUUCAUUGUAGGUAUAAUUAUGCAAAGCAAAGAAUCCAGGAAAGAAUUGCCAGAGAAGAAAUUAAAAAGAAGAUACUAUAUGAAGGUACCCACCUCGAUCCUGAAAGAAAACACAACGGCAGCAGCAGCAAUUGAACAAUCUUGAGCACAGAAGUCAAUGUAAAUGAAGUUAAGAUCAACCACAUAAAACAUUUCAUGUGCAAUAAACUCUCAAUCAAGUAAAUAAAGUUUAAGUUGUAGUCAUUUUUUUCCCACACUUGUAUGGAAUGAAAACUUGCCAGUUUAUUCUGGCCCUGUGUCUACUGCGAGGAUAGCAUUCUUACGUGUUACAUAUAGUGGACUUGUCAUCCUUAAAAUGCGAACAGAAUUUAUUGGCAGUGUGGCAAAGAAUUAUAAAACCUAGUGUUUAACGUACUUGGAAAGAGUUUCCUUGCAGUAACAAGUGUAGAGUUUAAUGAUAAGUAACCUUAACAAAAACCUCAACCUUAUUACUAUCCCAUUAAAAAGCAGCAAAUACUUACUGAUUUCUUGUAACAGCUAAUGUCAUUAUAAGAUUUAAAACUAAGGGAUUUUAUCACUUUGCAAAUUAUUUUUUAAAUGCAUUCAUCAUUUGACAGUGUUCUCUCAUUUCUUAAAAUGUGAGUCAUCUUCCAAAAGAGUUGUUUUUAACUGCCCUAAACAUUUUUGGGGAAGUAUGCAGGGUUUAAAUUUUUAAGUAUAAUUAGUUAUGAAUUUAAAUAUACACAUGGAACUUGUCUGGCAGACUGAUGCAACAGAAAAAUAACUGCAGAAUUACUAUUAAUGUAAACAAUCCAUUUGAAAGUCAAUCAGCUGCUCC